RNAcentral lists this ribosomal RNA (448 nucleotides) under uncultured eukaryote. RNAcentral describes it as "bacterial SSU rRNA". It matches the Rfam family "Eukaryotic small subunit ribosomal RNA", at positions 1214 to 1675 of the family's 1831-position model. The record is from RNAcentral.
CUCACCAGGUCAGGACACGGUAAGGAUUGACGGACUGAAGGCUCUUCUCGAUUCCGUGGAAAGUGGUGCAUGGCCGUUUUGGUUGGUGGAUCGAUCCGUCUGGUUAAUUCCGUUAACGAACGAGACCUCGGCACUCCGAAUAGCGCGGCGGACGUCGCGGCCUCCGGGCCGUCUUCCGCACGAGCUUCUUAGAGGGACCGUCCCCCGCCGGGGAAGGAGGUGCGAGGCAACGACAGGUCUGUGAUGCCCUUAGAUGUUCUGGGCCGCACGCGCAUUACACUGACGCGUCCAACGGGUGACUCCCGACCCGAAGGGGCCGGGGAAUCCGCAAGGCGCGUCGUGAUGGGGAUUGAACGUUGCAAUUGUUGUUCACGAACGAGGAAUUCCUAGUAGGCGCGGGUCAUCAACCCGCGCCGAUUACGUCCCUGCCCUUUGUACACACCGCCCG